GAGAAGAAGAACGGUUAGUCUCUCUCUCUCUCAUUUCCCUUUCCAUUUCACAUAUCAUCGUAAAAUCCCUAAAUCCAGCUUUCUUAGCUGCAUCGGAAGCCGAUCCGAUCGAUACUUCGUUCAUCUCAGUAAUUACAGAAGGAAAUUAAGAAACUGAUCUAUCUGAAAGCGAUCCAAAACCCUCGUUUUCAUCUCCGUCGGAUGCAUUUGACCCCACCGAUGCAUUAGAAUCCUUCCCUACACUGUCGAUUACUGGUGGGAAUCAAGGAUCUGGUGUGUAUCUACACACAAGUCCACCUAAUGCAUGGCUUGGACUUCCACAUCGCGAAGUUGCCAUGCGUGUCCACAUAUAGAGAUGUAUGUGGAAAGGUGCACGUGGGCUUAGCGGAACUCCUGUAUGGUCUAUUUGUUUAUAUAUUAGUCUUUAUUUUAUAGGUUAUCUUCAGAUCUAUAUACUAUUGAUGAUUCUCUCCCAUUUAUUCUCAACAUUCUCUUAGCAAAUUUCUUUAGCCUUGUCGGCAUUGCAAUAGUUUUGUCAUAUGCACAGGUAAAACUAAAAGGCUUUUUGUUGUAACAAUCCAGAUAUCUGAUUGGACUGUUUUAGUUCUAUAUGAUCAUAUUUCUUAACACUACCUAGAUAAAGUAUGUUGUUCAAACAUUUAAUUGAUAUGUGCAGAUUCUGUUCUUGCUUCUAUUAUUACCGUUUUGGUAUAUCUACAAAAAAUUGCAAGUCUGCAAAGUGGCCCCCAUGGAAAUCCUCUCCCACAUGCACUUUACAAGCAAAAUAUGUGCUAAUAUGGCAUGUGUCCAAGAUAUUUGAUAGGAGCAUAGGAUGGGCUGCACCAUGCAGAUGACGAUGACCAUCUAAUUUUGCUCUUGCAAUUUGAACCACUCACUAUAUCAUUUUUAUCCAUCCAUUUGAUAACCACCAUUUGGUUAGUUAGGAUUGAUUUAUCAUUUUGAUUUCCAACAUGUGCCUUUCAAGAUGUGCCUUACAAUUUGAAUGGUCUAAAAAGCUGUAAUUGUGUGCCACGUGAGGAGUAACUGCCAAUUUUAGAAUGGUAACAACUCUUGCAACAGAACAUGGAAAAGUUAUAUGACAAUCUUGAUCAUACAAAUAACUUAACCGAUUGUGCUUUGAGCAUAAAACAGAAUUUCACCAACCACAUGAAAUUAAUCAUUUGAUUUUGACUUGGAAUUUGAACCAUUCACUGUUAACCAUCCAUAUAACCAUCAAUCAAAUGGUGAUUAUCUUUGAUUUAUUAAUGUGAAUUUUGAAAUGAUAAAUAGCCAUGCAUGAGUGCCACAUUUGAGGAAGAUGACUCACUAAACUACCAUUUUCAAGAUGUUUGUGAGCUCUGACAUGUAUGAUGACUCCUUUGAUAGUUAACUACAAUUUUAAGAAA
Molecule: long non-coding RNA, 1406 nt
Organism: Magnolia sinica
Lineage: Eukaryota; Viridiplantae; Streptophyta; Magnoliopsida; Magnoliales; Magnoliaceae
Exons: 3
Source: RefSeq, a predicted model, not a curated record